GAUGAACGCUGGCGGCGUGCCUAAUACAUGCAAGUCGAGCGAACGGACGAGAAGCUUGCUUUUCUGAUGUUAGCGGCGGACGGGUGAGUAACACGUGGAUAACCUACCUAUAAGACUGGGAUAACUUCGGGAAACCGGAGCUAAUACCGGAUAAUAUUUUGAACCGCAUGGUUCAAAAGUGAAAGACGGUCUUGCUGUCACUUAUAGAUGGAUCCGCGCUGCAUUAGCUAGUUGGUAAGGUAACGGCUUACCAAGGCAACGAUGCAUAGCCGACCUGAGAGGGUGAUCGGCCACACUGGAACUGAGACACGGUCCAGACUCCUACGGGAGGCAGCAGUAGGGAAUCUUCCGCAAUGGGCGAAAGCCUGACGGAGCAACGCCGCGUGAGUGAUGAGGUUCUUCGGAUCGUAAAACUCUGUUAUUAGGGAAGAACAUAUGUGUAAGUAACUGUGCACAUCUUGACGGUACCUAAUCAGAAAGCCACGGCUAACUACGUG
RNAcentral lists this ribosomal RNA (497 nucleotides) under uncultured bacterium. RNAcentral describes it as "partial 16S ribosomal RNA". It matches the Rfam family "Bacterial small subunit ribosomal RNA", at positions 28 to 507 of the family's 1533-position model. The record is from RNAcentral.